Non-coding RNA from Prunus mume (Japanese apricot), 691 nucleotides. The record is from RefSeq and is a predicted model, not a curated record. NCBI's taxonomy places the organism in Eukaryota, Viridiplantae, Streptophyta, Magnoliopsida, Rosales, Rosaceae.
CAAUUUUGAGGUAUAAGGUUCAAUAUCAUCCAAUUGAUGAAGAUUUGAUAGGCGAAGUCACGAUUUGAAAGGGAAUCAUCAAUUUCAGUUUGUAGAUGUCUACUUCAUCUUCUCAUGGAUUGAGGUACCCUCUAUGUGGAGCUGAAAUGAAAUUACUUCUAUCAACUACAAAACAACAUUACAACAAAUAUUUCUGGAAGUGUACAAGGAAAUAUGUAACGCAUGAUUUUGAAUUAGUUUUAUUUUAUAAUAUGGAUGUUGUGGUUAUGCAAAGUGGAUGUAUGAUGUACGAAGGUGCUGGAUGCAAAGGUUUCGUAUGGUGUGAUGAUGUUGACAAAACAAAAGAGAGGGAAGAUAUAAUCUUUAGAGACUCACAACGGAUAGAAAACGAUGGUAGCUAUGACGAGUUGUUUCAAUCUAUGCAACUACAAGUUGGAGAUGUUUUGAAUCUGUUGAAAGAAAUAAAAGAGAUGUUGUUGAUUAUUUGUAUCUUGAUUACUAUCAAUGUGGUUUUCAAUUUAGUUAAAAAAUGAAGUGCUUAGAUGGUGCUUCAAUUUGGGUAAAGACAUGUUUUUGUUGCUCAAACAUUUUGGUUGUAACAUUGUGAUCAAAAUUUGGGGAAAGACAUGUCUCAGAGGUUGUAAAUUUCUAGUCAUGAAAUGAAAACAUUCAGCUCUUGUUUUGGUUCUUA